CAACCACAGGUAGACCUCAUCCGGACUCCUAUGGGAGCCGGACUUCAUCCCGACUUCAACUGCAGGUAGACUUCAUCCGGACUCCUACGGGAGCCGGACUUCAUCCCCGACAUCAACUGUAGGUAGACUUCAUCCGGACUCCUACGGGAGCCAGACUCCGUCCCUGACUCCAACUGCAGGUAGACUUCAUCUGGACUCCUACGGGAGCCGGACUUCAUCCCGACUUCAAUUGCAGUUAGACUUCAUCCGGACUCCUACGGGAGCUGGACUUCGUCCCCGACUUCAACCGCAGGUAGA
RNAcentral lists this long non-coding RNA (297 nucleotides) under Elaeis guineensis (African oil palm). RNAcentral describes it as "long non-coding RNA (EGUI_LNC069930)". The record is from RNAcentral. Lineage: Eukaryota; Viridiplantae; Streptophyta; Magnoliopsida; Arecales; Arecaceae.